CCUACGGGAGGCAGCAGUGGGGAAUAUUGCGCAAUGGGCGAAAGCCUGACGCAGCGACGCCGCGUGAGGGAUGAAGGUCUUCGGAUCGUAAACCUCUGUCAGCAGGGAAGAACGGUCACUGUGCUAAUCAGCAGUGAAUUGACGGUACCUGCAAAGGAAGCACCGGCUAACUCCGUGCCAGCAGCCGCGGUAAUACGGAGGGUGCGAGCGUUAAUCGGAAUUACUGGGCGUAAAGCGCUCGUAGGCGGUAUGUCAAGUCAAGGGUGAAAUCCCCGGGCUCAACGUGGGAACUGCCUUUGAAACUGGCAAACUGGAGUGUGUGAGAGGAUAGUGGAAUUCCAGGUGUAGGGGUGAAAUGCGUAGAUAUCUGGAGGAACAUCAGUGGCGAAGGCGACUAUCUGGCACAUAACUGACGCUGAGGAGCGAAAGCGUGGGUAGCAAACAGGAUUAGAUACCCGUGUAGUC
Molecule: ribosomal RNA, 465 nt
Filed under: uncultured bacterium
Lineage: Bacteria
Description: partial 16S ribosomal RNA
Rfam family: Bacterial small subunit ribosomal RNA
Source: RNAcentral